This 1292-nucleotide ribosomal RNA is filed under the name Klebsiella variicola. RNAcentral describes it as "bacterial SSU rRNA". It matches the Rfam family "Bacterial small subunit ribosomal RNA", at positions 248 to 1533 of the family's 1533-position model. Lineage: Bacteria; Pseudomonadati; Pseudomonadota; Gammaproteobacteria; Enterobacterales; Enterobacteriaceae. The record is from RNAcentral.
GUAGGUGGGGUAACGGCUCACCUAGGCGACGAUCCCUAGCUGGUCUGAGAGGAUGACCAGCCACACUGGAACUGAGACACGGUCCAGACUCCUACGGGAGGCAGCAGUGGGGAAUAUUGCACAAUGGGCGCAAGCCUGAUGCAGCCAUGCCGCGUGUGUGAAGAAGGCCUUCGGGUUGUAAAGCACUUUCAGCGGGGAGGAAGGCGGUGAGGUUAAUAACCUCAUCGAUUGACGUUACCCGCAGAAGAAGCACCGGCUAACUCCGUGCCAGCAGCCGCGGUAAUACGGAGGGUGCAAGCGUUAAUCGGAAUUACUGGGCGUAAAGCGCACGCAGGCGGUCUGUCAAGUCGGAUGUGAAAUCCCCGGGCUCAACCUGGGAACUGCAUUCGAAACUGGCAGGCUAGAGUCUUGUAGAGGGGGGUAGAAUUCCAGGUGUAGCGGUGAAAUGCGUAGAGAUCUGGAGGAAUACCGGUGGCGAAGGCGGCCCCCUGGACAAAGACUGACGCUCAGGUGCGAAAGCGUGGGGAGCAAACAGGAUUAGAUACCCUGGUAGUCCACGCUGUAAACGAUGUCGAUUUGGAGGUUGUGCCCUUGAGGCGUGGCUUCCGGAGCUAACGCGUUAAAUCGACCGCCUGGGGAGUACGGCCGCAAGGUUAAAACUCAAAUGAAUUGACGGGGGCCCGCACAAGCGGUGGAGCAUGUGGUUUAAUUCGAUGCAACGCGAAGAACCUUACCUGGUCUUGACAUCCACAGAACUUUCCAGAGAUGGAUUGGUGCCUUCGGGAACUGUGAGACAGGUGCUGCAUGGCUGUCGUCAGCUCGUGUUGUGAAAUGUUGGGUUAAGUCCCGCAACGAGCGCAACCCUUAUCCUUUGUUGCCAGCGGUCCGGCCGGGAACUCAAAGGAGACUGCCAGUGAUAAACUGGAGGAAGGUGGGGAUGACGUCAAGUCAUCAUGGCCCUUACGACCAGGGCUACACACGUGCUACAAUGGCAUAUACAAAGAGAAGCGACCUCGCGAGAGCAAGCGGACCUCAUAAAGUAUGUCGUAGUCCGGAUUGGAGUCUGCAACUCGACUCCAUGAAGUCGGAAUCGCUAGUAAUCGUAGAUCAGAAUGCUACGGUGAAUACGUUCCCGGGCCUUGUACACACCGCCCGUCACACCAUGGGAGUGGGUUGCAAAAGAAGUAGGUAGCUUAACCUUCGGGAGGGCGCUUACCACUUUGUGAUUCAUGACUGGGGUGAAGUCGUAACAAGGUAACCGUAGGGGAACCUGCGGUUGGAUCACCUCCUUA